GACGAACGCUGGCGGCGUGCUUAACACAUGCAAGUCGAACGUGAUUUUUGUGGAAAUUCUUUCGGGAAUGGAAAUGAAAUGAAAGUGGCGAACGGGUGAGUAACACGUGAGCAACCUACCUUACACAGGGGGAUAGCCGUUGGAAACGACGAUUAAUACCGCAUGAGACCACAGAAUCGCAUGAUAUAGGGGUCAAAGAUUUAUCGGUGUAAGAAGGGCUCGCGUCUGAUUAGCUAGUUGGUGAGAUAACUGCCCACCAAGGCGACGAUCAGUAGCCGACCUGAGAGGGUGAUCGGCCACAUUGGAACUGAGACACGGUCCAAACUCCUACGGGAGGCAGCAGUGGGGAAUAUUGCACAAUGGAGGGAACUCUGAUGCAGCGACGCCGCGUGAACGAAGAAGGCUUUCGAGUCGUAAAGUUCUUUUAUAUGGGAAGAUAAUGACGGUACCAUAAGAAAAAGCCCCGGCUAACUACGUGCCAGCAGCCGCGGUAAUACGUAGGGGGCUAGCGUUGUCCGGAAUCACUGGGCGUAAAGGGUUCGCAGGCGGAAAUGCAAGUCAGGUGUAAAAGGCAGUAGCUUAACUACUGUAAGCAUUUGAAACUGCAUAUCUUGAGAAGAGUAGAGGUAAGUGGAAUUUUUAGUGUAGCGGUGAAAUGCGUAGAUAUUAAAAAGAAUACCGGUGGCGAAGGCGACUUACUGGGCUCAUUCUGACGCUGAGGAACGAAAGCGUGGGUAGCAAACAGG
RNAcentral lists this ribosomal RNA (746 nucleotides) under uncultured Peptoniphilus sp. RNAcentral's name for it is "bacterial SSU rRNA". It matches the Rfam family "Bacterial small subunit ribosomal RNA", at positions 28 to 776 of the family's 1533-position model. The record is from RNAcentral. Lineage: Bacteria; Bacillati; Bacillota; Tissierellia; Tissierellales; Peptoniphilaceae.